Molecule: ribosomal RNA, 609 nt
Filed under: Pseudomonas sp. SN26
Lineage: Bacteria; Pseudomonadati; Pseudomonadota; Gammaproteobacteria; Pseudomonadales; Pseudomonadaceae
Description: bacterial SSU rRNA
Rfam family: Bacterial small subunit ribosomal RNA
Source: RNAcentral
AGUCGAGCGGAUGACGGGAGCUUGCUCCUUGAUUCAGCGGCGGACGGGUGAGUAAUGCCUAGGAAUCUGCCUGGUAGUGGGGGACAACGUUUCGAAAGGAACGCUAAUACCGCAUACGUCCUACGGGAGAAAGCAGGGGACCUUCGGGCCUUGCGCUAUCAGAUGAGCCUAGGUCGGAUUAGCUAGUUGGUGGGGUAAUGGCUCACCAAGGCGACGAUCCGUAACUGGUCUGAGAGGAUGAUCAGUCACACUGGAACUGAGACACGGUCCAGACUCCUACGGGAGGCAGCAGUGGGGAAUAUUGGACAAUGGGCGAAAGCCUGAUCCAGCCAUGCCGCGUGUGUGAAGAAGGUCUUCGGAUUGUAAAGCACUUUAAGUUGGGAGGAAGGGCAUUAACCUAAUACGUUAGUGUUUUGACGUUACCGACAGAAUAAGCACCGGCUAACUCUGUGCCAGCAGCCGCGGUAAUACAGAGGGUGCAAGCGUUAAUCGGAAUUACUGGGCGUAAAGCGCGCGUAGGUGGUUUGUUAAGUUGGAUGUGAAAGCCCCGGGCUCAACCUGGGAACUGCAUCCAAAACUGGCAAGCUAGAGUACAGUAGAGGGUGGUGG